AUGCCAAGGCAAGCAGCGGGAGGGCUGGCACCGUGCCCGCCCGACCCCACACCAGCAGCCGGAGGAGUCGCUUUUCCGGGGCACUGCAACCUGUUUGCCCAGCUGCGACCCCCUCCCCUCCACGAGAUGCCACUGCCCCUGCCCGCACCCCAUCCCCGCCGCCCCCUUUCCUCCCCACCCCCACCCCCCAUGCCAAGGGGAGCCUGCCGGCAGCGACGCUGCCGUGGAAACGGCGCCUCAUCCCGCCUGGCUCACCUGCUCCUGGAUGAGCUGCAGCAACGAGCUUCUAUCCAUAUACCUGCUGGGCUGGACGGCGGAGGGAGAGGAGGACAGCGGAGGAGCGCGCACGGGCGGCGGCGGCACUGGCACCACCGGCGGCUGCCUUGCCUUCUUUCCCCCGCCGGGAAGGCGACCGAGCAGCAGCAGCGGGACCAGCAGCAGCAGCAGCAGCAGCAGCCCGGCUUCCCGAGGCGAGUGGCAGGCAGCGAGCCGGGCAGGCGGAGCCUAGGGCAGCCCGGCGGGGCGGGGAGAGGCGAGGCGAGGGAGGCGCCCGCUGCGCCUCGGGCGGCGCGAGGGAGGGCGUUGCGCAGGAGCGGCGGCCGGGCAGGCAGGCAGGCAGGCAAGCGCCGCUUCUCCUCGCUGCUGAUGCUGCUGCGAACAGGGACGGAUGGACGGGCGCCCGGCGCACGCAGCAGCAGCAGCAGCGCUGCAGCCCCCUCUGGCGCCCUCGCGAAGCGGCGCAGGGAGAAGAGGAGCGCGCGGCGGGCCACCCGGAGCCGCAGCGGCCGGCGGCGCCCGCGAAGCGAGGGAGGGAGGGAGGCUCGCUCGGACCCGCCUCUUUCUCCCACCCGAUUGGCGGGGAAGGGAUCCCAAAGGACGGGGGCGGGGUGGAGAGCCCUUUCCCCCCUCCUCCCAGCCCGAGGGCCGCAUUCCCUCAUGGGUAACCUGCCGCGGGCCACAUGCCGGCAGAGGGCAGGGCCAGAGGCGAAAGUGGGCGGAGCAACAGGUGCAGUCUGUGCACGGUAA
Molecule: long non-coding RNA, 1026 nt
Filed under: Podarcis muralis (Common wall lizard)
Lineage: Eukaryota; Metazoa; Chordata; Lepidosauria; Squamata; Lacertidae
Description: lncRNA (ENSPMRG00000019896.1)
Source: RNAcentral